UGGUCCCACAAAUCCGUCGCUUGGGUUGUUUACUUUCGUGUGAUGAGGAUCUGUUGACUGUGUCUCGUCUGCGAUUGGCUAGAGGGAGAUAGAGGAUGGACCGACGCGUAUGAACCCGCUGGUUGUGUCUCGUCUGCGAUUGGCUAGAGGAAGAUAGAGGAUGGACUGACGCGUAUGAACCCGCCCCGCGAAAUAUGACGGGUGGGCCUUGUUGGCUGAUGGUCCCACACAACGGUAGCUGGGCUUGUUUUCUUCCGCGUGCAUAUUGACCGGGUCAUCCAGCGGGAGAUAAAAAUCGUCCCCGCCGCGCCCGGCACACCUCCCUCCUCCACUCCACUUGGAAGCCUUCGUCUGCGGCGUCAUACCACUGCCGGGGUGCCGCGCAAGAGGUCAGGAUCCGCCGCCACCGCGAGCCAGGGGACGCCCGUUGGUGAGCCUGCAUGCAGGAAGCCGACGGGGAGCACGGCGUCAACAAGCCGACAGGAGGCGGGGUCUUCCCGCUGGGAUGGAGGAGCAGGCGAUGGCCGGGAGGCCACCGGUGGGGGAGCAACGAGGCCCGAGCUCUAGGAUCCGCACACAUUGCGGGAUGGAGAAGAGGCCGGCGUGGGGCGCAAGGAGCAGCAGGGGAAGAACAGUGGGGCUUUCAUCUCCUCUCUCAUCUCGACUCCUACAAACCUCGCCACUGGUGCUUGCUCGGCUUACUCAUUCUCCUCCUCUCCCCAUAUUUUCCUCUGUUGUUUGUGUUCCUUCAAUUUGCAGGGAUUGUGGGAAGCAAAUGUACGUGGGUGAGUUAUUUCUUUUGUGUGAAAGUCUCUUCCAUGCUGGUCUAUGGAUUCCUUGACGCUCUGUUCAUGACUGACUCUGUUCUUGUUUUAUCUUUUUUACCUUUGCACGGAGUUGUUCUACUCUCUCCCUCGAGGUGGGUUGAGUUGCAGUUUAGGUGGAGAUGUUGGUGCUGUUUGAGACGCCCACUGGGUUCGCCGUUUUCAAGGUUCUGAACAAGGGCAAGCUCGACAAGAUCAAGAGCUUUGUGUUCAUCUUUGUCCGUAGGAUCUAUGGAAGGAGUUCACCACAUCAGACUCGGCGAGAAAGAAUGAAGUGGCAAGCAUAGAAGAAAUGCAGAGCCAGUUUCCCUCGGAUGCAGUGUAUUACACUGAGUCUGAGGAUACACAACAGUCUAUUGAGGCUACUCCACCAUCGGUGAAAAUCCCCUACAGAAUGAUGCUGGAUGUCCUUUUAGAAUCUUUGGGUCUGCCAUUGGCUGAGUAUCGAACCAAAGUAUGCGAGGAUGGUUUGAAGUUACAAAGAAUCCCAUUUUCGUUCAGAUAUGCACGCCUUUUUUUCAUCUAGAAUCUUUGCAUUUAGGUUUAUAUUAUUGAUUCAGGUUCAGCUGUUUAGAUCAAAACUGUAAUCUUGCGUGUAGAUUGGACAGAUUAUUUCUCACUUUGAGGACUCCGUUUUGUUCAUCGGAAAGUUUUCCCAGUGUCGUUCUUCCAAAAAUGAAUUGAAAUUACUAAGAUUCAUGCAAGUUACUUGGCAAA
Molecule: RNA transcript, 1541 nt
Organism: Triticum aestivum (bread wheat)
Lineage: Eukaryota; Viridiplantae; Streptophyta; Magnoliopsida; Poales; Poaceae
Exons: 5
Source: RefSeq, a predicted model, not a curated record